This 253-nucleotide ribosomal RNA is filed under the name uncultured bacterium. RNAcentral describes it as "partial 16S ribosomal RNA". It matches the Rfam family "Bacterial small subunit ribosomal RNA", at positions 524 to 776 of the family's 1533-position model. The record is from RNAcentral.
UACGUAGGGGGCAAGCGUUGUUCGGAUUCAUUGGGCGUAAAGGGUGCGUAGGUGGCGCCGUAAGUCAGGUGUGAAAUUUCGGAGCUUAACUCCGAAACUGCAUUUGAUACUGCGGUGCUUGAGGACUGGAGAGGAGACUGGAAUUUACGGUGUAGCAGUGAAAUGCGUAGAGAUCGUAAGGAAGACCAGUGGCGAAGGCGGGUCUCUGGACAGUUCCUGACACUGAGGCACGAAGGCCAGGGGAGCAAACGGG